UGAAAGUCAGUCCACGCAGACCCGAAACCGGGUGAUCUAUCCAUGUCCAGGAUGAAGUUGCCGUAAAAGGCAGUGGAGGUCCGAACGCACAUCCGUUGAAAAGGGUGGCGAUGAGGUGUGGAUAGGGGAGAAAUUCCAAUCGAACCCGGAGAUAGCUGGUUCUCCUCGAAAUAGCUUUAGGGCUAGCCUCAUGAGAGUCAUAUGGAGGUAGAGCACUGAAUACCCAAGGGGGCGUCAAAGCUUACCAAAGGUUAUCAAACUCCGAAUGCCAUGAUGAUGCUUCAUGGGAGUCAGACUGCACGAGAUAAGUUGGGUAGUCAAAAGGGAAAGAGCCCAGACCUACAGCUAAGGUCCCAAAGUGUGUGUUAAGUGGAAAAGGAUGUGGGAUUUCAAAGACAGCUAGGAUGUUGGCUCAGAAGCAGCCACACAUUCAAAGAGUGCGUAAUAGCUCACUAGUCGAGAGGUCCCGCGCCGAAAAUGUCCGGGGCUGAAACACACCACCGAAGCUUAGGAAAGACAUGCCGCAAGGUAUGUCUUUGGUAGAGGAGCAUUGUGAUGCCAUUGAAGCUGUACCGACAAGGAGCAGUGGAGGAAUCACAAGAGAGAAUGCCGGAAUGAGUAGCGAGAAAGAGGUGAGAAUCCUCUUGGCCGAAUAUCCAAGGUUUCCAGAGUAAAGCUGAUCUGCUCUGGGUAAGUCGGGAUCUAAGGCGAGGUCGAAAGACGUAGUCGAUGGACAGCAGGUGGAAAUUCCUGCACUAUGGUAUGACAGAACUGUGGGGACGUAUGUGGAAAGCAUGAGCCGGGAAAGGAAAAACCGGUGCAAGCGAAGUAGGGGUGUGAAAGGCAAAUCCGUCACACAACCCAAAGGCGUGAUGCGAAGCGAACUAUAGUAGCGAAGCAUGUGAGCUAUGUACCGAGAAAAGCCGCUAUCGUUCAUACCAUACCCGUACCGUAAACCGACACAGGUGGAUGGGGAGAGAAUCCCAAGGCCGGCGGGAGAAGCAUUGUCAAGGAACUCGGCAAAAUGGCCCCGUAACUUAGGGAAAAGGGGUGCCAUCGAAGGAUGGCCGCAGAGAAUAGGCUCAAGCAACUGUUUAGCAAAAACACAGGUCUAUGCGAAACCGAAAGGUGAGGUAUAUGGGCUGACGCCUGCCCGGUGCUGGAAGGUUAAGAGGAGAGGUCAGGAAACGAAGCCUUGAAUUGAAGCCCCAGUAAACGGCGGCCGUAACUAUAACGGUCCUAAGGUAGCGAAAUUCCUUGUCGGGUAAGUUCCGACCCGCACGAAAGGCGUAAUGAUUUGAGCGCUGUCUCGACAAUGCACCCGGUGAAAUUGAACUGCCAGUGAAGAUGCUGGCUACCUGCGCCAGGACGGAAAGACCCCAUGGAGCUUUACUCCAGUUUGAUACUGGGAUCCGGUGCUGUAUGUACAGGAUAGGUGGGAGGCUAAGAGCCACAGACGCCAGUCUGUGAGGAGCCGCUGUUGGGAUACCACCCUUACAGUACUGGGUUUCUAACCUGCGCCCGUAAGCCGGGCGGGGGACAAUGUCUGACGGGGAGUUUGACUGGGGCGGUCGCCUCCGAAAGGGUAUCGGAGGCGCUCAAAGGUUCCCUCAGAAUGGACGGAAACCAUUCGCAGAGCGCAAAGGCAGAAGGGAGCCUGACUGUGACACCGACGGGUGGAGCAGGUACGAAAGUAGGACUUAGUGAUCCGGUGGCAUAAAGUGGGAUUGCCAUCGCUCAACGGAUAAAAGCUACCCUGGGGAUAACAGGCUGAUCACUCCCAAGAGUUCACAUCGACGGAGUGGUUUGGCACCUCGAUGUCGGCUCAUCGCAUCCUGGGGCUGUAGCAGGUCCCAAGGGUUGGGCUGUUCGCCCAUUAAAGCGGUACGCGAGCUGGGUUCAGAACGUCGUGAGACAGUUCGGUCCCUAUCCGGCGUGGGCGCAGGAUAUCUGAGAGGAGCUGUCCUUAGUACGAGAGGACCGGGAUGGACGGACCGCUGGUGUACCUGUUGGCGACCAACGCCAUGGCAGGGUAGCCAAGUCCGGCAGGGAUAAACGCUGAAGGCAUCUAAGCGUGAAGCCCCCCUCAAGAUGAGAUAUCCCCCACAAAAGUGGAUAAGACCCCUUGAAGACGACAAGGUAGAUAGGGUAUAGGUGUAAGUGCAGCAAUGCAUUGAGCUGAAUACUACUAAUCGGUCGAAGGCUUAUCCUG
Ribosomal RNA from Lachnospiraceae bacterium A4, 2212 nucleotides. It matches the Rfam family "Bacterial large subunit ribosomal RNA", at positions 694 to 2925 of the family's 2925-position model. NCBI's taxonomy places the organism in Bacteria, Bacillati, Bacillota, Clostridia, Lachnospirales, Lachnospiraceae. The record is from Rfam.